Molecule: non-coding RNA, 429 nt
Filed under: Anaerocolumna jejuensis DSM 15929
Lineage: Bacteria; Bacillati; Bacillota; Clostridia; Lachnospirales; Lachnospiraceae
Description: Bacterial large subunit ribosomal RNA
Rfam family: Bacterial large subunit ribosomal RNA
Source: Rfam by way of RNAcentral
UCCGAAAGGGUAUCGGAGGCGCUCAAAGGUCCUCUCAGGAUGGACGGAAACCAUCCGAAGAGUGCAAAGGCAUAAGAGGGCUUGACUGCGACACCGACGGGUGGAGCAGGUACGAAAGUAGGACUUAGUGAUCCGGUGGUAUAAAGUGGGAUUGCCAUCGCUCAACGGAUAAAAGCUACCCUGGGGAUAACAGGCUUAUCACUCCCAAGAGUUCACAUCGACGGAGUGGUUUGGCACCUCGAUGUCGGCUCAUCGCAUCCUGGGGCUGUAUUAGGUCCCAAGGGUUGGGCUGUUCGCCCAUUAAAGCGGUACGCGAGCUGGGUUCAGAACGUCGUGAGACAGUUCGGUCCCUAUCCGGCGCGGGCGUAGGAUAUUUGAGAGGAGCUGACCUUAGUACGAGAGGACCGGGUUGGACUGACCUCUGGUGUA